UCAUGUUGAAUUGUGCUGGGCCAUCCCCA
This 29-nucleotide non-coding RNA is filed under the name Rattus norvegicus (Norway rat). Lineage: Eukaryota; Metazoa; Chordata; Mammalia; Rodentia; Muridae. The record is from RNAcentral.